Molecule: ribosomal RNA, 301 nt
Filed under: uncultured bacterium
Lineage: Bacteria
Description: partial 16S ribosomal RNA
Rfam family: Bacterial small subunit ribosomal RNA
Source: RNAcentral
CAGUAGCCGCGGGAAUACGUAGGUGGCAAGCGUUGUCCGGAUUUAUUGGGCGUAAAGCGAGCGCAGGCGGUUUCUUAAGUCUGAUGUGAAAGCCCCCGGCUCAACCGGGGAGGGUCAUUGGAAACUGGGAGACUUGAGUGCAGAAGAGGAGAGUGGAAUUCCAUGUGUAGCGGUGAAAUGCGUAGAUAUAUGGAGGAACACCAGUGGCGAAGGCGGCUCUCUGGUCUGUAACUGACGCUGAGGCUCGAAAGCGUGGGGAGCAAACAGGAUUAGAUACCCCCGUAGUCCCUGUCUCUUAUAC